Long non-coding RNA from Gadus macrocephalus (Pacific cod), 1769 nucleotides. RefSeq lists it as uncharacterized. The transcript has 4 exons. NCBI's taxonomy places the organism in Eukaryota, Metazoa, Chordata, Actinopteri, Gadiformes, Gadidae. The record is from RefSeq and is a predicted model, not a curated record.
GAUCAUGCACGGAAGGAAACAGGAAGUGAUGAGGCAAUGGACUACACUGAGGGCCCUGUGGUGACAAGUGUGAAGACGUAUCAGCAGUCAGACCUCCAGCAGAGAAGCCUAUGGGGCUCCACAGGAAACACACUCAGACUGUCCUUCAUCAUAUUCAUACCUGCACUACUGCUUACUGUUGGCUACAGAUUGAUGAGGUCACAGCAGAGAGCGUGGAAUGGACGACGGAUUAAAUCUGACCAAGAAGACAACUCAUUGUAGUGUCUGUCUGUCUGUCUGUCUGUCUGUCUGUCUGUCUGUCUGUCUGUCUGUCUGUCUGUCUGUCUGUCUGUCUGUCUGUCUGUCUGUCUGUCUGUCUGUGUGUGUCUGUGUGUGUGUGUGUGUGUGUGUGUGUGUGUGUGUGUGUGUGUGUGUGUGUGUGUGUGUGUGUGUGUGUGUGUGUGUGUGUGUGUGUGUGUGUGUGUGUGUGUGCAUGUGCUGUUACUAAGGGUGUUUAAAAGUAAGUGCGUUUUUCUACACGUAUUUAAAAUUUUAAUUCAAGCUAAUUGAAACACAGGAACAAACUAGACUCAUUGAAAGGACAGUUUAUAACGACAGAAAGGGAAGCGGGUAGUUUCAAUUUGGUACAAUUGUUGGGAAAACAGACACCAGUCAUUGCUUUUAACUAUCUUAAGGGCACCAGUUUGAAAAGACGAAGUGAAAAGGAUGUUUUCUGAAUUGAGAAAUGUUCAACUAAAAGUCCCUUUCCUCAAUGUCAGUUUGAUUACUUGACUGUUGUGUUGGCUUAGCAUUCUUUCAUCACAUAUGUAAUAUGUAAUUAACUGAUCUCAUCAUGGGAUAUAACAACGCAUGUCUUCAUUAGGACAGCAUCAGCUUUAUGAAGUGCAACUGGACAGUCUCUGGGUCAAUCCUCAAUGAGUCCAUCUCUGGAACUCCCCCUUGAGCAAGACACCUUCCUACUGAUGGAUGCCUUGCACGUGCAGACGGCCAUCUCUUUUUGCAUAUUAGCCAAUGGUUUCAGUAUGUUGUUUUAGACAGGACAUUCACUGGUUGCUGCUAGUGUAUGGUUACUUAUUGUGUGUUUUUGUGUACCCCCCAUAUAUGACUCAUCCUGUGACAUUGUGAGAUAUGUGAGUGCGAAUGGGAUGUUGUUUUAGCAUUAGAGCGUGACAUAAUGAUGGCCGUGCCUGGAUCAGGAUACCUGCUCAAUGCUGUGUCUGUUACCAGCUGCUGAAUGUGACCUGGUCGUGUUCAGCACUGUGGGAAAUUAUGUGACUCUGCCUUGUAAAUAUGAUCUCCCAACAAACGGUCUAAGUUCAACAUGCUGGAGACAAGCUGUUCUACCAGCCUCGAGGUGUAGCAAUAUGCUGAUCUCCAGCGACUGUGCAGUGAGAAAUAGAGAAUACAAAUAGAGAAUAAUAUAUACAAUAUCCUUUCUGAGCAAACCGGUUUCUGUUUUUUUAAUUUAAACUAAUAAUCCCCACAGCCUGUAAGACGUUUAUAAUUAAUAUAAACUAUAAAAAAAAUGAGUUAUUCCCAUUCUUCAAACUCAAUCCCAGGGCUUUGCUCUUGCAUGUAUAGUUAUCCCAGACCCUUUGGAAUUAUCCCUGCUAUAUUUUACAGAUUUGUAUCCAAUACCUGUUUACACAUCCAUUCAAUAUUCUGCACAUUUUGGAAUCUUGCUUAAGAUUAUUUGGAUUUGAAUAAAAAAUUUAGUGGUCUGAACUGCAGUUCCAAACCCUGAUCCAAGAUGUCGCCAUUUCUCGAUA